UACGUAGGGGGCAAGCGUUGUCCGGAAUCAUUGGGCGUAAAGCGCGUGUAGGCGGCCCGAUAAGUCCGCUGUGAAAGUCCAGGGCUCAACCCUGGGAUGCCGGUGGAUACUGUCGGGCUCGAGUCCGGAAGAGGAGUGUGGAAUUCCCGGUGUAGCGGUGAAAUGCGCAGAUAUCGGGAGGAACACCGGUGGCGAAGGCGGUUCUCUGGGCCUGACCUGACGCUGAGGAGCGAAAGCGUGGGGAGCGAACAGG
RNAcentral lists this ribosomal RNA (253 nucleotides) under uncultured bacterium. Its description in RNAcentral is "partial 16S ribosomal RNA". It matches the Rfam family "Bacterial small subunit ribosomal RNA", at positions 524 to 776 of the family's 1533-position model. The record is from RNAcentral.